RNAcentral lists this ribosomal RNA (274 nucleotides) under uncultured bacterium. RNAcentral's name for it is "partial 16S ribosomal RNA". It matches the Rfam family "Bacterial small subunit ribosomal RNA", at positions 523 to 796 of the family's 1533-position model. The record is from RNAcentral.
AUACGGAGGGUGCAAGCGUUACUCGGAAUCACUGGGCGUAAAGCGCGCGCAGGCGGCUAUUUAAGUUGGAUGUGAAAGCCUACGGCUCAACCGUAGAACUGCAUCCAAAACUAUUUAGCUAGAGUGUGGGAGAGGAAGAUGGAAUUAGUUGUGUAGGGGUAAAAGCCGUAGAGAUAACUAGGAAUACCAAAAGCGAAGGCAAUCUUCUGGAACACUACUGACGCUGAGGCGCGAAAGCGUGGGGAGCAAACAGGAUUAGAAACCCUAGUAGUCC